This 76-nucleotide transfer RNA is filed under the name Enterococcus faecalis. Its description in RNAcentral is "tRNA-Met(cat)". It matches the Rfam family "tRNA". From Rfam's summary of the family: Transfer RNA (tRNA) molecules are approximately 80 nucleotides in length. Their secondary structure includes four short double-helical elements and three loops (D, anti-codon, and T loops). Further hydrogen bonds mediate the characteristic L-shaped molecular structure. tRNAs have two regions of fundamental functional importance: the anti-codon, which is responsible for specific mRNA codon recognition, and the 3' end, to which the tRNAs corresponding amino acid is attached (by aminoacyl-tRNA synthetases). tRNAs cope with the degeneracy of the genetic code in two manners: having more than one tRNA (with a specific anti-codon) for a particular amino acid; and 'wobble' base-pairing, i.e. permitting non-standard base-pairing at the 3rd anti-codon position. Lineage: Bacteria; Bacillati; Bacillota; Bacilli; Lactobacillales; Enterococcaceae. The record is from RNAcentral.
UGGACCAUUAGCUCAGUUGGUUAGAGCAAACGGCUCAUAACCGUUAGGUCACAGGCUCAAGUCCUGUAUGGUCCAU